This 463-nucleotide ribosomal RNA is filed under the name Burkholderia cenocepacia. RNAcentral's name for it is "bacterial SSU rRNA". It matches the Rfam family "Bacterial small subunit ribosomal RNA", at positions 56 to 513 of the family's 1533-position model. The record is from RNAcentral. Lineage: Bacteria; Pseudomonadati; Pseudomonadota; Betaproteobacteria; Burkholderiales; Burkholderiaceae.
UGCAGUCGAACGGCAGCACGGGUGCUUGCACCUGGUGGCGAGUGGCGAACGGGUGAGUAAUACAUCGGAACAUGUCCUGUAGUGGGGGAUAGCCCGGCGAAAGCCGGAUUAAUACCGCAUACGAUCCAUGGAUGAAAGCGGGGGACCUUCGGGCCUCGCGCUAUAGGGUUGGCCGAUGGCUGAUUAGCUAGUUGGUGGGGUAAAGGCCUACCAAGGCGACGAUCAGUAGCUGGUCUGAGAGGACGACCAGCCACACUGGGACUGAGACACGGCCCAGACUCCUACGGGAGGCAGCAGUGGGGAAUUUUGGACAAUGGGCGAAAGCCUGAUCCAGCAAUGCCGCGUGUGUGAAGAAGGCCUUCGGGUUGUAAAGCACUUUUGUCCGGAAAGAAAUCCUUGGCUCUAAUACAGUCGGGGGAUGACGGUACCGGAAGAAUAAGCACCGGCUAACUACGUGCCAGCA